GAAUGUACAGUAUGUGGCAGAUUUAUAUUCAGGGGGUAUAGUAUGUGUUGGUAUUCUAUUCAGAAUGUACAGUGUGUGGUAGUAUUAUAUUCAGUGGGUAUGGUGUAUGGAAGGUUUAUAAUCAAAGAGUAUAGUGUAUAGUAGUAUUAUAUUUAGAGGAUACAGUGUGUCAGGUUUAUAAUAAUACUUGUUUUCAUAUAGAGGAUGAGAAUGCGCUGACAUAGUGAGGACACGUCUGGGCGUCACAUUCUACAGAGAGAAGUUUUAGCUGGACCAGGCGCUAUUCAGGAGAAGAUUAGAUAUGGAAUAAAUGAGCAGUUUAUGCAGAAUAUGUUCCAAUUGGUUUAAAUGCAAACCAACCAAGAGAUCCUCCCAUCCCCAAGAAGUGACCCUCUGUCCAUCACGGAUCAUAAGGAUGGCACUCAGAGAGAAAACCUCAGAAAGAGACCGCAAAUGCAACGUGUACAGAGCCAAACCCUCACUAAUGGACAAGCACGUCAUCUUAGACUAUGCAUCAGGCAUUAGAGGAUGGGGCACACCCUGUACCACCUCCCAGACUCACUGGUGUGAGAACAAAGAACAAAAGGAAAAUUGGUGUAAAAGUGUAUAGUUACUUUAGACUAAGUUGUAACUUCUAGGCAGAAUUGUUUUA
Molecule: long non-coding RNA, 652 nt
Organism: Hyla sarda
Lineage: Eukaryota; Metazoa; Chordata; Amphibia; Anura; Hylidae
Exons: 3
Source: RefSeq, a predicted model, not a curated record